Molecule: ribosomal RNA, 563 nt
Filed under: uncultured euryarchaeote
Lineage: Archaea; Methanobacteriati; Methanobacteriota
Description: bacterial SSU rRNA
Rfam family: Archaeal small subunit ribosomal RNA
Source: RNAcentral
AGUUCCAGCCUUACGGGGCGCAGCAGGCGCGAAACCUCCGCAAUGUGAGAAAUCGCGACGGGGGAACCCCAAGUGCCAUUCUUAACGGGAUGGCUUUUCUUGAGUGUAAAAAGUUCUUGGAAUAAGAGCUGGGCAAGACCGGUGCCAGCCGCCGCGGUAACACCGGCAGCUCUAGUGGUAGCCAUUUUUAUUGGGCCUAAAGCGUUCGUAGCCGGUUUAAUAAGUCUCUGGUGAAAUCCCGCAGCUUAACUGUGGGAAUUGCUGGAGAUACUAUUAGACUUGAGGUCGGGAGAGGUUAGAGGUACUCCCAGGGUAGGGGUGAAAUCCUGUAAUCCUGGGAGGACCACCUGUGGCGAAGGCGUCUAACUGGAACGAACCUGACGGUGAGGGACGAAAGCUAGGGGCGCGAACCGGAUUAGAUACCCGGGUAGUCCUAGCCGUAAACGAUGCGGACUUGGUGUUAGGAUGGCUUCGAGCCGCCCUAGUGCCGAAGGGAAGCUGUUAAGUCCGUCGCCUGGGAAGUACGGUCGCAAGACUGAAACUUAAAGGAAUUGGCGGGGGAA